This 87-nucleotide non-coding RNA is filed under the name Mesodinium pulex. Lineage: Eukaryota; Ciliophora; Litostomatea; Cyclotrichida; Mesodiniidae. The record is from RNAcentral.
AAAAAAAAAAAAAAAAACAAAAAAAAAAAAAAAAAAAAAAAAAAUUUUUUUUUUUUUUUUUUUUUUUUUUGUUUUUUUUUUUUUUUU